CCUACGGGGGGCAGCAGUGGGGAAUAUUGCACAAUGGGGGAAACCCUGAUGCAGCGACGCCGCGUGAGCGAAGAAGUAUUUCGGUAUGUAAAGCUCUAUCAGCAGGGAAGAAAAUGACGGUACCUGAGUCAGAAGCUCCGGCUAAAUACGUGCCAGCAGCCGCGGUAAUACGUAUGGAGCAAGCGUUAUCCGGAUUUACUGGGCGUAAAGGGAGCGUAGGCGGCCUGCCAAGUCUGAUGUGAAAUACCGGGGCUCAACCCCGGGGCUGCAUUGGAAACUGGCAGGCUGGAGUGGCGGAGAGGCAGGCGGAAUUCCUAGUGUAGCGGUGAAAUGCGUAGAUAUCAGGAGGAACACCAGUGGCGAAGGCGGCCUGCUGGACGGUGACUGACGCUGAGGCUCGAAAGCGUGGGGAGCGAACAGGAUUAGAUACCCCAGUAGUC
RNAcentral lists this ribosomal RNA (440 nucleotides) under uncultured bacterium. RNAcentral describes it as "partial 16S ribosomal RNA". It matches the Rfam family "Bacterial small subunit ribosomal RNA", at positions 338 to 795 of the family's 1533-position model. The record is from RNAcentral.